RNAcentral lists this ribosomal RNA (1419 nucleotides) under Salmonella enterica. RNAcentral's name for it is "partial 23S ribosomal RNA". It matches the Rfam family "Bacterial large subunit ribosomal RNA", at positions 1535 to 2925 of the family's 2925-position model. The record is from RNAcentral. Lineage: Bacteria; Pseudomonadati; Pseudomonadota; Gammaproteobacteria; Enterobacterales; Enterobacteriaceae. RNAcentral also lists the same sequence under 1 other name.
GGUAAAUCCGGUUCACUUUAACACUGAGGCGUGAUGACGAGGCACUACGGUGCUGAAGCAACAAAUGCCCUGCUUCCAGGAAAAGCCUCUAAGCAUCAGGUAACAUCAAAUCGUACCCCAAACCGACACAGGUGGUCAGGUAGAGAAUACCAAGGCGCUUGAGAGAACUCGGGUGAAGGAACUAGGCAAAAUGGUGCCGUAACUUCGGGAGAAGGCACGCUGACACGUAGGUGAAGUGAUUUACUCAUGGAGCUGAAGUCAGUCGAAGAUACCAGCUGGCUGCAACUGUUUAUUAAAAACACAGCACUGUGCAAACACGAAAGUGGACGUAUACGGUGUGACGCCUGCCCGGUGCCGGAAGGUUAAUUGAUGGGGUCAGCGCAAGCGAAGCUCCUGAUCGAAGCCCCGGUAAACGGCGGCCGUAACUAUAACGGUCCUAAGGUAGCGAAAUUCCUUGUCGGGUAAGUUCCGACCUGCACGAAUGGCGUAAUGAUGGCCAGGCUGUCUCCACCCGAGACUCAGUGAAAUUGAACUCGCUGUGAAGAUGCAGUGUACCCGCGGCAAGACGGAAAGACCCCGUGAACCUUUACUAUAGCUUGACACUGAACAUUGAGCCUUGAUGUGUAGGAUAGGUGGGAGGCUUUGAAGUGUGGACGCCAGUCUGCAUGGAGCCGGCCUUGAAAUACCACCCUUUAAUGUUUGAUGUUCUAACGUGGACCCGUGAUCCGGGUUGCGGACAGUGUCUGGUGGGUAGUUUGACUGGGGCGGUCUCCUCCUAAAGAGUAACGGAGGAGCACGAAGGUUGGCUAAUCCUGGUCGGACAUCAGGAGGUUAGUGCAAUGGCAUAAGCCAGCUUGACUGCGAGCGUGACGGCGCGAGCAGGUGCGAAAGCAGGUCAUAGUGAUCCGGUGGUUCUGAAUGGAAGGGCCAUCGCUCAACGGAUAAAAGGUACUCCGGGGAUAACAGGCUGAUACCGCCCAAGAGUUCAUAUCGACGGCGGUGUUUGGCACCUCGAUGUCGGCUCAUCACAUCCUGGGGCUGAAGUAGGUCCCAAGGGUAUGGCUGUUCGCCAUUUAAAGUGGUACGCGAGCUGGGUUUAGAACGUCGUGAGACAGUUCGGUCCCUAUCUGCCGUGGGCGCUGGAGAACUGAGGGGGGCUGCUCCUAGUACGAGAGGACCGGAGUGGACGCAUCACUGGUGUUCGGGUUGUCAUGCCAAUGGCACUGCCCGGUAGCUAAAUGCGGAAGAGAUAAGUGCUGAAAGCAUCUAAGCACGAAACUUGCCCCGAGAUGAGUUCUCCCUGAGACUUUAGGUCUCCUGAAGGAACGUUGAAGACGACGACGUUGAUAGGCCGGGUGUGUAAGCGCAGCGAUGCGUUGAGCUAACCGGUACUAAUGAACCGUGAGGCUUAACCUUACA